UUUGUUUCCAGUUUAAAGAAAAAGAAAACAUUUUUCUUGAUUUACUACUGAAUUUCAGCAAUGAUUCAUCUAUAUUCUCACAAGGUGUAAUCUUACAUCAACUCCUUAACUCAUUUUCUCCAUUUUACAGUGUUUGUUUUUCUUCUUCUUUGGGCCUAGCAGUAGAGCCAGACAUGUGUGCAUGUGGAUCCAGGAUAUUUGAUAGCAUGCAGAAACAGUUGCCUGUGGUCAAGCCCACUCAUGAACGUUGCCCCGUUAAAGAAAAACAGAUUCAGCAUCAUGGCUUCAAAGGCACAGAGCUGGGACACAUGUCGCAUCAAACGCACCGAUGUCCGAUUCUGUCUGUUCAGAGGAAGGGUUCAAUUAACAACAACAAACUGAAGUGUUACAAAUUCUUGGAUCUGUAGAAAGUUUUAAGUGAGACGGAAACGGUGCGUCGCCUCCUCAACGUGAUUUUUAUCCCAUCGGAUCAGAAGUAUGUUGGUUUAUGUUAUGUUAUAUUUAGGCUGUGUUUGUACUCACUUUGUUUUGACACGAAACAAUGACGUAAAAUGACUCGGGGGAAGGGAGGGCUUGUUUUUUAUGCUCUACGCACACUAAGCUGCAGAUCCUCAAAUAUUUUGGCACAGCAUUGUGUGUUGUUCUCCUACAUUUCACAUGAUAAUUUCCUUUUAAAUAAAAUAAAGACAAACAUAACACUAA
Long non-coding RNA from Poecilia reticulata (guppy), 702 nucleotides. RefSeq lists it as uncharacterized. The record is from RefSeq and is a predicted model, not a curated record. Lineage: Eukaryota; Metazoa; Chordata; Actinopteri; Cyprinodontiformes; Poeciliidae.